This 814-nucleotide ribosomal RNA is filed under the name uncultured archaeon. RNAcentral's name for it is "bacterial SSU rRNA". It matches the Rfam family "Archaeal small subunit ribosomal RNA", at positions 85 to 878 of the family's 1478-position model. The record is from RNAcentral.
ACGGCUCAGUAACACGUUAUCAACUUACCCUAUAGAGGGGCAUAACCUCGGGAAACUGAGGAUAAUUCCCCAUAGUUGAAUGAGCCUGGAACGGUUCUUCAUCGAAAUGUCGUGUCGAAAUAGAGAUACGUUCGCUGUAGGAUAGGAUUGCUCCCGAUUAUGGUAGAUGGUGAGGUAAUGGCUCACCAUGCCUAUGAUCGGUAAGGGCCGUGAGAGCGGGAGCCCUGAGAUGGGUACUGAGACAAGGACCCAGGCCUUACGAGGCGCAGCAGGCGCGAAACCUUUACAAUGCGCGAAAGCGUGAUAAGGUUAUCCGGAGUGCUGAGAGCACAACUCUUAGCUGUUAUCGGGCAUAGAUAACCCGAUGAGAAAGGAGAGGGCAAGGCUGGUGCCAGCCGCCGCGGUAAAACCAGCUCUUCAAGUGGUCGGGACGAUUAUUGGGCUUAAAGUGUCCGUAGCCGGUUUGGUAAGUUCUUGGUUAAAUCUGACAGCUUAACUGUCAGCUUGCUAAGAAGACUGCCUUACUAGGGGGCGGGAAAGGUCUGAGGUACUCCAGGGGUAGCGGUGAAAUGUGAUAAUCCUUGGGGGACCACCAGUGGCGAAGGCGUCAGUCUGGAACGCGCCCGACGGUGAGGGACGAAAGCUAGGGGAGCGAACUGGAUCAGAUACCCCGGUAGUCCUAGCUGUAAACGAUGCGUGCUAGGUGUUGGUAGGGCUAUGAGCUGUAUCAGUGCCGUAGGGAAACUUGUUAAGCACGCCGCCUGGGAAGUACGCUCGCAAGGAGUGAAACUUAAAGGAAUUGGCGGGGGGAGCA